This 430-nucleotide long non-coding RNA is filed under the name Homo sapiens (human). Its description in RNAcentral is "non-protein coding MCHR2-AS1:12". Lineage: Eukaryota; Metazoa; Chordata; Mammalia; Primates; Hominidae. The record is from RNAcentral.
UUUUAAAAAAAGUCACAGAAGAAUGUGGAGACACUUAGCAAAACGGACUCUCAUAAGAGUGUUCGAUGGUGCUGCUACUAAUGAAAGAUUUGAGGAAACUCCUAAGGUCCCUCCAGUGUACAACAAUUUGGGAACUUCCAUUUUCUCAACAACUGCUCUUCCAAGAUGCUGCCUCAUUUCAGAGCCAUGUUUUACUCAUGAGCUGGUCCUGUCCAGAAAACAGCCAAUGCUCAUUCCCGACACUUUCUUGUCACUGCUCUUUUCUGUUCCCUAUUUUGUCAGUAAGGAAGUAAACAACCGCUAAAACAACCCUCUAACAACAGAAGACCCUCAUGAGAACACCAGGCAGCAGAAGCUUCUUUAGCAGUAAAAGAUAUCUGGAUAUUCAUAUUUUGUUCCAUGAUCUUCAACAUUAAAUAAAUAAACUUAA